AGGAAAUGCAACGUCUCUCUUUGUCAUGUGGACUGGUGGUUUGGCCAUAGGGCCUUCCCCGUCGGGUUGUGAAGCGUCUCAGGGUCAUCAGGAACGUGUCUGCCUCUGUGCUGCUCAGCGCUACAUUUAGAGGCGAGCGGCUACUGACCAACAGCUUUGAAGAUCUCCUACAACGGCAGUCUUCUAUCCUCUACAGCAUCAAGUCAGCAGUUAUCCUUCAAUCAGAGAUCCGAC
RNAcentral lists this long non-coding RNA (234 nucleotides) under Cottoperca gobio. RNAcentral describes it as "lncRNA (ENSCGOG00000024106.1)". Lineage: Eukaryota; Metazoa; Chordata; Actinopteri; Perciformes; Bovichtidae. The record is from RNAcentral.